AGCCGCUGAUGACAAAUCCAAACAACUUUUCUGACACCUACUAUGACAGCUGAACUACAGCUUGUGAUUCUAAUUGUAACGCUGAGGCUU
Molecule: small nucleolar RNA, 90 nt
Organism: Nerophis lumbriciformis (worm pipefish)
Lineage: Eukaryota; Metazoa; Chordata; Actinopteri; Syngnathiformes; Syngnathidae
Product: small nucleolar RNA SNORD60
Source: RefSeq, a predicted model, not a curated record